CCACAGCUCUGCAGGCAAAGAGCAGAAGAACAUACCCGUGACCUGAGAAGCUGGCCAGAGGAGCAGAGGGGGGCUGCCAGGAGGACCCAGCUGCAGUCCCUGCAGGAGCCGGCUGCGGGGAGGACAAGGCUGCAUGGACAGGAGGCUAGAACGAGAGAGGAUGUUUCUGGGGCCUGGCCGGCCCAGCUGAUGAAGACGGCUGAUGGCGGUGUCCAUCUGUGAGGUGGAAAGACAGCAGGGGUCCGGAGGGACACAGCUGUCCUGGGCCUUGUCGCUUGCAGGACCUGUUGCCACUGAUGAUGCUGAGAUGCUGGCAGAGAUCAGACUGCAUGGCCUCCCCUGGAAGGCAUGCAUCUCUCACCUCCCACCAUCAUGGGUCAGAAUCCCAGCAGAUGUCGUGGGAGCAGACGUCUUGGACAGAAGUGCAGUGGCGUGUGUCCAGGGCCCAGUCCUCUGGGAGCUGCCCACCCCGCUUGGGAGCAGAGCCCCCAGCCCUGAAAUCGCUGGGCCAGGGCCAGGCGGGGCGAAUCCCCUCUACCCAGUCGGGUACCAGUGCCCUGGGCGCCCCCAUCAAGGACACCAGGGUUUGCACGACAGGGUAGGAGAAGAGGAAUGCGUUUGGUUGCUG
This is a long non-coding RNA of Bos taurus (domestic cattle), 628 nucleotides long. Lineage: Eukaryota; Metazoa; Chordata; Mammalia; Artiodactyla; Bovidae. The record is from Ensembl.